UUUGACUAAAAUACUUCCUUUAAGCCAUCUACAUUUAUUUUUACUACAACAACAUUAAUUGAAAGUUGAAAAAUGUUACUUUUACAAGUGAAAAAUGUGGCAAAAAUCAUCAAAAUAGAAUGUGGCGGGUGGUACCGUUUUAUGGGGGCUAUUCCAAAACGUGGACCGAUAUAUCUCAUUUUCAGUUGCAACCAUUCUAGAUACAAUACAAAUUGUUGUGCUAAAUUUUAAAGCUCUUCGUCAAAUAAUGUGGGCUAUAUCGUGAUUUCAAUAGGCAGACAGACGGACAUCGUUAAAUCUGCUUAGAAUUUUAUGCUAAUUUUGAAUGUAUAUACUUUAUGGAGUCUACGAAUAUUGAGACUUUCGGCUCGUACAGGUGAAGAUUGGAUUAAAGGCUGGGCCGACUACAAAUUCAAAUUGCGAAAAGAGAGGAGAAGGUAUAGGCGUUUUAAGAUCUGGAGAGACUUGAGUCAAAACAUUUUAGAAAGCAUUCUUACGAACCCUGAAAGCACCCUGCUUUUACAUCUAUUAAAAAUGUGGUAGUCGAAAGUUUUAUAUAAAUCUAAAAUUUGAUGACGAUACAGAAUUUGGCGAUACAGAUAACAAUUGCAACAUCACUCAUUGUUAACUGUAAUGGUAGCUCCGAGCCGGAGGUGCGAUGCAGCACUCUUUCUUUCCCCCUAUCGCAAAAAUUUAUGAUUAAAGUGGCCGACACACCUCAUAAGGUCACUGAACGUGAUAGCGGUCAUGCCUCUGUUGGGUGUCAUUGCGGGUAUUUUACCGGCAGGUAUAUAGAGAGCGACUUCCCCUCUGAUGAAUCCUUUCUACUACCCGGGCAUAUGAAGGGUUAGGUCGUUCCCUGAAGCGAAGUUUCGUGAACUUUCUGAAUUCUGUCCAGUGGGCAUUCCUAUGAUUAAGGAAAAUAAAGGCAAUUGUGGGAAGAUGGUUUGAACCAAGAGAAAUUGCAAAUCAAGACAUUUAUUACAAUAGGCGACACUACGGCUAAGUCUGGCAAACUGAGGCAUCCGUGUCUAGUGUGCAGAAUGUGGAGUAAUCAAUGUGCUCUGACAACGUUGAUCUCCUUUGGUCGUUCCCUAGGACGUAAUGCUACAGCUCAUAGUAGACAUUAAAAAGUCAAUAGUACCAGGGGUUAUAAUUUUCUAAAAGAAAGCAAUCGAAGCGUUUUAUAUUUAUAAACUGUCGGAAUAUACAUAUUGGAUACCUCUACCUGAAGUAUUUCACACUUAAUUACUACUAUACAGAAUUGUAUAACAGCAACCCCCAAUCCCCGACAUCCACUUCAGGUGCAAUUGAUUUGCAAAGAUGGACAAUCCGGAAUUAGAACAGCAACAUCUGGAGUAAGAUAGAUAAAUUUUUAGGCAGAAUAUCCCUAUAUGUCUUAUAAAUUAGAGAAAAAGAGUCUGAUAA
Molecule: long non-coding RNA, 1428 nt
Organism: Musca domestica (house fly)
Lineage: Eukaryota; Metazoa; Arthropoda; Insecta; Diptera; Muscidae
Exons: 4
Source: RefSeq, a predicted model, not a curated record